CGUGUGCGUAAUUUAAAAAAAAUGUCAAGCUGUGACCCUGAUAAUAGGAAUUGCUCCUCACACCCCA
Molecule: transfer RNA, 67 nt
Filed under: Contia tenuis
Lineage: Eukaryota; Metazoa; Chordata; Lepidosauria; Squamata; Dipsadidae
Description: tRNA-His
Source: RNAcentral